CCUACGGGAGGCAGCAGUGGGGAAUAUUGGGCAAUGGGCGCAAGCCUGACCCAGCAACGCCGCGUGAAGGAAGAAGGCUUUCGGGUUGUAAACUUCUUUUCUCAGGGACGAAGCAAGUGACGGUACCUGAGGAAUAAGCCACGGCUAACUACGUGCCAGCAGCCGCGGUAAUACGUAGGUGGCAAGCGUUAUCCGGAUUUACUGGGUGUAAAGGGCGUGUAGGCGGGAAUGCAAGUCAGAUGUGAAAACCAUGGGCUCAACCUAUGGCCUGCAUUUGAAACUGUAGUUCUUGAGUGCUGGAGAGGCAGACGGAAUUCCGAGUGUAGCGGUGAAAUGCGUAGAUAUUAGGAGGAACACCAGUGGCGAAGGCGGAUUGCUGGACAGCAACUGACGCUGAGGCGCGAAAGCGUGGGGAGCAAACAGGAUUAGAUACCCCAGUAGUC
RNAcentral lists this ribosomal RNA (443 nucleotides) under uncultured bacterium. RNAcentral describes it as "partial 16S ribosomal RNA". It matches the Rfam family "Bacterial small subunit ribosomal RNA", at positions 338 to 795 of the family's 1533-position model. The record is from RNAcentral.